GAUGAAGAACGUAGUAAAAUGCGAUAAGUAGUGUGAAUUGCAGAAUUCAGUGAAUCAUCGAAUCUUUGAACGCACAUUGCGCCCCUCGGUAUUCCGUGGGGCAUGCCUGUUCGAGCGUCAUUUACCCCUCAAGCACUGCUUGGUGUUGGGCGUCUGUCCCGCUUCGCGCGCGGACUCGCCCCAAAGGUAUUGGCAGCGGUCGUGCCAGCUUCUCGCGCAGCACAUUGCGCUUCUCGAGGCGGUCGAUCGGCGUCCACGAAGCUCACCUCCACCGUUUGACCUCGGAUCAGGUAGGGAUACCCGCUGAACUUAAGCAUAUCAAUAAGCGGAGGA
Molecule: unclassified non-coding RNA, 333 nt
Filed under: soil metagenome
Description: partial contains 5.8S ribosomal RNA, internal transcribed spacer 2, and large subunit ribosomal RNA
Rfam family: 5.8S ribosomal RNA (bases 1-120)
Source: RNAcentral